Molecule: long non-coding RNA, 294 nt
Organism: Papaver somniferum (opium poppy)
Lineage: Eukaryota; Viridiplantae; Streptophyta; Magnoliopsida; Ranunculales; Papaveraceae
Exons: 3
Source: RefSeq, a predicted model, not a curated record
AUCUCACCCUCUCACCUCCCUUUCCUCUCGUUUCUUCGUCCCUGAUCACUUUAUUGAUGAGGUUUUAUUUAGUGAUUUCGGUGCGUUUAUGAGUGGAUCUGGUAAUUGGUUUUGUCAUCAGAGAGUAUCUCGAUUUUCCGUUCGAUUCUCCCAUCAAGAUAAAUUUCUUCUCUAUAUAUCUCUUCUGAGAUAUUGAGUAGAUUAGUCGAAAGCUGAGAAGCAGGAACAAUUAGAGCUCUUGGAAUCGGCAGUAAAUGCUGCUAAUGACUCUUGGGUUUUGAGGUGAUAUGGUAC